UUCCACACUUUAGUUGACCUGUGCAUUGCAGAUGGACCAGGAGGCCAGCUUGCCUUCCCUGGACAGACAACAGUACUAAGUUGGAAAACUUCAAGUAAGCACCCUGUUACAUUUUCAAGGCACGGAUUGAUUGAAAGCAUGAGCACACAAAUGGAGGGCUCCUACGUUCUUCUCUUGACUGUUGUAGUACCAAGUCCCUGCUGGAUAAGCAAGAGAUGACAGCAAUAACGCAUGGAUUCUCCAGAUAGAUAAACAUUCUGGGUCUGAAUCUUGCCCCCAGUACUCAUCAGCUGUGUGCCUCCAAGCAAGUUAUUAAGCUUCUCUGAACCUUACUUGCUCACCUGUAAAAUGGGCUGAUGGCAGCCACACUUACCUCACCCUGCUGUUAAGAGGAGUAAUGAACUAUGACCUAUGAACUGUUGUGAACCCUCCCUCCUGCACUUCCUUAGCAUCAGUCAAAGAAAUACUUCAUUCUUAUA
Molecule: long non-coding RNA, 479 nt
Filed under: Mus musculus (house mouse)
Lineage: Eukaryota; Metazoa; Chordata; Mammalia; Rodentia; Muridae
Description: predicted gene 44991
Source: RNAcentral